This 253-nucleotide ribosomal RNA is filed under the name uncultured bacterium. RNAcentral describes it as "partial 16S ribosomal RNA". It matches the Rfam family "Bacterial small subunit ribosomal RNA", at positions 524 to 776 of the family's 1533-position model. The record is from RNAcentral.
UACGGAGGGGGCUAGCGUUGUUCGGAAUUACUGGGCGUAAAGCGCGCGUAGGUGGACGCAUCAGUGCGACGUGAAAUCCCCGGGCUUAACCUGGGAACUGCGUUGCAUACUGUGCGUCUAGCAUGUGCUUGAGGGGAGCGGAAUUCCUGGUGUAGCGGUGAAAUGCGUAGAUAUCAGGAGGAACACCGGAGGCGAAAGCGGCUCCCUGGGGCAUGAUGGACACUGAGGCGCGAAAGCGUGGGGAGCAAACAGG